This 876-nucleotide ribosomal RNA is filed under the name Parathyridaria sp. RNAcentral's name for it is "partial large subunit ribosomal RNA". It matches the Rfam family "Eukaryotic large subunit ribosomal RNA", at positions 55 to 946 of the family's 3401-position model. The record is from RNAcentral. Lineage: Eukaryota; Fungi; Ascomycota; Dothideomycetes; Pleosporales; Thyridariaceae.
GGAAAAGAAACCAACAGGGAUUGCCCCAGUAACGGCGAGUGAAGCGGCAACAGCUCAAAUUUGAAAUCUGGCUCCUUUGGGGUCCGAGUUGUAAUUUGCAGAGGGUGCUUUGGCGUCGGCCGUGGUCUAAGUUCCUUGGAACAGGACGUCACAGAGGGUGAGAAUCCCGUACGUGGCCGCCGGCCUUCGCCGUGUAAAGCCCCUUCGACGAGUCGAGUUGUUUGGGAAUGCAGCUCUAAAUGGGAGAUAAAUUUCUUCUAAAGCUAAAUAUUGGCCAGAGACCGAUAGCGCACAAGUAGAGUGAUCGAAAGAUGAAAAGCACUUUGGAAAGAGAGUCAAAAAGCACGUGAAAUUGUUGAAAGGGAAGCGCUUGCAGCCAGACGUGCCCGCAGUUGCUCACCCGGGCUUUUGCCCGGGGCACUCUUCUGUGGGCAGGCCAGCAUCAGUUCGGGCGGUUGGAUAAAGGCCUCUGUCACGUACCACCCUCUCGGGGGCGGCCUUAUAGGGGAGGCGCAACACGACCAGCCCGAACUGAGGACCGCGCAUUAUGCUAGGAUGCUGGCGUAAUGGCUGUAAGCGGCCCGUCUUGAAACACGGACCAAGGAGUCUAACAUCUAUGCGAGUGUUUGGGUGUCAAGCCCGGGCGCGCAAUGAAAGUGAACGGAGGUGGGAACCCCUCGGGGCGCACCAUCGACCGAUCCUGAAGUCUUCGGAUGGAUUUGAGUAAGAGCAUAGCUGUUGGGACCCGAAAGAUGGUGAACUAUGCCUGAAUAGGGUGAAGCCAGGGGAAACCCUGGUGGAGGCUCGCAGCGGUUCUGACGUGCAAAUCGAUCGUCAAAUUUGGGCAUAGGGGCGAAAGACUAAUCGAACCAUCUA